GUGGGGAAUUUUGGACAAUGGGCGCAAGCCUGAUCCAGCAAUGCCGCGUGCAGGAAGAAGGCCUUCGGGUUGUAAACUGCUUUUGUACGGAACGAAAAGGCUCUGGUUAAUACCUGGGGCUCAUGACGGUACCGUAAGAAUAAGCACCGGCUAACUACGUGCCAGCAGCCGCGGUAAUACGUAGGGUGCAAGCGUUAAUCGGAAUUACUGGGCGUAAAGCGUGCGCAGGCGGUUUUGUAAGACAGGCGUGAAAUCCCCGGGCUCAACCUGGGAAUUGCGCUUGUGACUGCAAGGCUGGAGUGCGGCAGAGGGGGAUGGAAUUCCGCGUGUAGCAGUGAAAUGCGUAGAUAUGCGGAGGAACACCGAUGGCGAAGGCAAUCCCCUGGGCCUGCACUGACGCUCAUGCACGAAAGCGUGGGGAGCAAACAGGAUUAGAAACCCCGGUAGUCC
Molecule: ribosomal RNA, 450 nt
Filed under: uncultured bacterium
Lineage: Bacteria
Description: partial 16S ribosomal RNA
Rfam family: Bacterial small subunit ribosomal RNA
Source: RNAcentral